RNAcentral lists this long non-coding RNA (604 nucleotides) under Cicer arietinum (chickpea). RNAcentral describes it as "long non-coding RNA (CARI_LNC001823)". Lineage: Eukaryota; Viridiplantae; Streptophyta; Magnoliopsida; Fabales; Fabaceae. The record is from RNAcentral.
AAACUUAAUUUUUAGAUUCCAACAUUAAAAAAAAAAAAAUUAUUCGGGUCAUGCAUACGUAAAUGUCAUUUAUACAAAUGCAUUAAUAACAAUAAGACUAGAAUAUAAACUUCGUAUCUUGUAAAAAAUAAAAGAUCUAGACGCCACGUAUGAUCUUGUAUAAUUAUUUCAGUAUGUUAUAGAAAAACAGCAAAACAAAUAUAGUCCUAUAUAUAAUUUAAGAUUGUGAUACAUUGCCAAAGGAUCAUGGUUGCCCUAUAGGCUAACACAAGAAGCACCAUAUAUCAUCUCUUAUGCUUCCUUGAUUGGUUGAUGCAAAAACACGAUCCCUGGAGGAUGGAUCUGAACUUGAUACUCAUUUUGAUGAGAGCAAUUACUAUAGGCUGAAGCUGUAGACUACCUUACAAUGGUGCUGCUCACUUGAGAGUUGUAGCACUAAUUAGGGCCUUUUGUAGGUGAGUCGGAAAGUAGAGGAAAAGGAUCUUCCCUAGCAUAUACCUAGCUAAGGUUCUUUGCACACAGCCACACACCGUGUGUGUUUGCUUUUAUAAAAGUAAUUCAGUGUCACACCAUUUAUAGAAUCUUCAUUGACAUUAUAAUUUUU